Molecule: non-coding RNA, 103 nt
Organism: Myotis davidii
Lineage: Eukaryota; Metazoa; Chordata; Mammalia; Chiroptera; Vespertilionidae
Source: Rfam
UAUUUUACUACAACAAUAUACUAAAAUUAGAACAAUACAGAAAAUAUUAGCAUGACACUUGCUCAAAAAUGACAUGGAAAUUCAUAAAACAGUCCAUAGUUUU